RNAcentral lists this ribosomal RNA (377 nucleotides) under uncultured bacterium. RNAcentral's name for it is "bacterial SSU rRNA". It matches the Rfam family "Bacterial small subunit ribosomal RNA", at positions 521 to 896 of the family's 1533-position model. The record is from RNAcentral.
UAAUACAGAGGUCCCAAGCGUUGUUCGGAUUCACUGGGCGUAAAGGGUGCGUAGGCGGUCGGGUAAGUUUGAUGUGAAAUCUCUGGGCUUAACCCAGAAAUGGCAUUGAAUACUAUUCGGCUAGAGAGUCGGAGGGGGGACUGGAAUACUUGGUGUAGCAGUGAAAUGCGUAGAUAUCAAGUGGAACACCAGUGGCGAAGGCGAGUCCCUGGACGAUUUCUGACGCUGAGGCACGAAAGCUAGGGGAGCAAACAGGAUUAGAUACCCUGGUAGUCCUAGCUGUAAACGGUGCACGUUUGCUGUAAAAGGAAUCGACCCCUUUUGUGGCGAAGCUAACGCGUUAAACGUGCCGCCUGGGAAGUACGGUCGCAAGAUUA